ACUUCCCCUAGAAGCACUGCAGGUGUGGCUGCUGUGUCACCCGUGCAUUAGAGGGUGGCAGAGAGGAGAGAGGCUGGGUCUACACUCAUAGUUCUGCCCUGUGAGUAUCUGAGUGAUUAGUAACCUAACACU
Molecule: small nucleolar RNA, 132 nt
Organism: Mastomys coucha (southern multimammate mouse)
Lineage: Eukaryota; Metazoa; Chordata; Mammalia; Rodentia; Muridae
Product: small nucleolar RNA SNORA17
Exons: 1
Source: RefSeq, a predicted model, not a curated record